GAGCAAAUUUGGCAACCCGUUUCAGGAGAAUAAAGCGCGUCCUCUGUUCCUUCUUUCCAGGCCUUUCCAUAAUCCCAUCGCAUCCCUGUGAGGAACAUAACCAGCCACGGGGUGGAGCUGGAACCAAGACCAAAGAUGACAUUCUGCUGCUUCAGGAGCCUCAUCUUCACUGGCCUGAAGGAAAACGGCACGCUGUAUGUUUGUUGGGGCUGCGAACCGGACUUUUGGAGAAGAGUGAGGGACGUUGCUCUUUUCAGUGGAGACGGAUCAGAACACAUUGUUCAUCGCCACGGCUGUGCAGUGAUGUCAUCUUCAUCACUGACUGCCAGAAAACAUUCGCCUCACCACGCUCACACUGACUCCAAUCUGUCUUCUUGCUGCGAAACUUGGACAGGAUGUCCGUGUUUGUUUGUGUGAGCGUUCUGUAUGUACAGUGUACUUCCUAAAAAUCCCACUUCAUCCCCUUCCUUACUGGGAUUUGGGUGUGAAGGAGUGGGCAGCAUCUUUGGAAAGCUGGGUAAAGUUUUCUGAAAAGCCAUUUUAGAGUUGGGGCUGGUAGCACAAAAUGUGUGUAAGUGUGUCAGCAGCGCUGCUGUCGCAGUGUGUGUCCCGCUCUGCCAGGCCUGGCUCCCAGCUCAGCCAGAAGAACCAACCAGUAAUGAGAUCUCAUUUCUGGCUGGCCUUCCUGCAGCGAUGGCGUCAGCAGAUACUGAAAAAGACAAUUAGACACUUAUUAACCAAGAGAUGAACGAGCCGCAUGAAAACACUCUAAUCCGAGCGGCAAAAUGUAAAUAUUGUUCCAGCUGCUAAUUUCCUCCUCCUUUAUCCAGUUUUGGGAUAAAUUAAGUAGAUGAAGUGUUGUAUAAGUGCAGCGACAUUGUAUUUAUUGUUGUUUAUUUUAUUUCACAAACAUGGUUCAAGCAAAGAAGCAACAAUAAAGCAUAUUUUGCAUAUUGCUCAACAUUAAAACUGUCUGAAAAAAAUAAGAAACCACUAAAAUGAUCAGUUUCUCUGAUUUUACUUUUUAUAUUUAUAUGUUUGAGUAAAAUGAACAUUCUAUGUAUCUGAAACUCCAAGGAAAUUUUUGUAUUUAUUUGCAGAAAAUUAACAAAAAAGAUGCAGUGCAUUCAGACCUCAGAUAAACUUCAAUAGUAAUGUUUUAACUCAGGAAGAGUUCAAAUCCAUGUUUGGUGGAAUAACCAGGAUGUUGGGCUCUUCAUUUUGUCUAGAGUUACAUAAAUUUAGCAAUUUAUUGUAGUUUUUUUCUUAUUUGCACCAGUAAGACAUUUGUAGAUCUAUGUUUUUAUAGUCACACUCGGUAUGUUUUCUGUGUGCCCCAGUAGCCAAGCGAUGACAUUUUGUUGCCAAAUUUACUGUCGUGUUUUUGUGCAAUGACAAUAAAGAAAGUCUAUGAAAAUGUUUCACUUUCCACUGGAAAAUUUGACAUAUAUUUAAAAUGAGAUUCAUAAAUGUAUUUGAAUGUCAAUUUUAACAAAAUAUGUUGUGUAUAAUCUCUGAAAAGUAUACACAAACUGUUUUGCAAAAUAGUAGUGCUGUGCAAAAUGCUCAUUCAUUUAGUCACAGUCUCACGCCUCACUUU
Poecilia reticulata (guppy) is the source of this 1600-nucleotide long non-coding RNA. RefSeq lists it as uncharacterized. The record is from RefSeq and is a predicted model, not a curated record. NCBI's taxonomy places the organism in Eukaryota, Metazoa, Chordata, Actinopteri, Cyprinodontiformes, Poeciliidae.